GAUGAACGCUGGCGGCGUGCCUAAUACAUGCAAGUCGAACGAGGCCCUUUGUAUUCGUACGAAGGUGUCCAAGUGGCGAACGGGUGAGUAACACGUAGGUGACCUACCCCGAAGAGGGGGACAACCCCGGGAAACUGGGGCUAAUACCCCAUGAUCUCCAUGGCGUUAGAGGGCCAUGGAGCAAACGGAGCAAUCCGCUUUGGGAGGGGCCUGCGGCCCAUCAGCUAGUUGGUAGGGUAAUGGCCUACCAAGGCUACGACGGGUAGGGGGCCUGAGAGGGUGGUCCCCCACAAUGGAACUGAAACACGGUCCAUACACCUACGGGUGGCUG
RNAcentral lists this ribosomal RNA (331 nucleotides) under uncultured Chloroflexota bacterium. RNAcentral describes it as "bacterial SSU rRNA". It matches the Rfam family "Bacterial small subunit ribosomal RNA", at positions 28 to 351 of the family's 1533-position model. Lineage: Bacteria; Bacillati; Chloroflexota. The record is from RNAcentral.